RNAcentral lists this transfer RNA (85 nucleotides) under Pseudomonadota bacterium. Its description in RNAcentral is "tRNA-Leu". It matches the Rfam family "tRNA". Rfam says of the family: Transfer RNA (tRNA) molecules are approximately 80 nucleotides in length. Lineage: Bacteria; Pseudomonadati; Pseudomonadota. RNAcentral also lists the same sequence under 1 other name. The record is from RNAcentral.
GCCGAGGUGGCGGAACUGGUAGACGCGCCAGGUUUAGGUCCUGGUGGGAUUUCCCGUGGAGGUUCGAGUCCUCUCCUCGGCACCA